This 85-nucleotide transfer RNA is filed under the name Actinomycetota bacterium. RNAcentral's name for it is "tRNA-Ser". It matches the Rfam family "tRNA". From Rfam's summary of the family: Transfer RNA (tRNA) molecules are approximately 80 nucleotides in length. The record is from RNAcentral. Lineage: Bacteria; Bacillati; Actinomycetota.
GGAGGGAUGGCCGAGAGGACGAAGGCGGUGGUCUUGAAAACCACUGGGCCCUCGGGCCCCGUGGGUUCGAAUCCCACUCCCUCCG